AGGGGCRGCGUUACCGGAUUCACUGGGCGUAAAGGGGUCCAGCGAUCCAGUAUGUCGGGUGUGAAAUCCCACAGCUCAACUGUGGAAUUGCGCCCGAAACUACUGGGUUUGGGGCUGGUAGAGGGAGACGGAACUGCUGGUGUAGGGGUGAAAUCCGUAGAUAUCAGCAGGAACGCCGGUGGGGAAGCCGGUCUCCUGGGCCAAGCCCGACGCUGAGGCCCGAAAGCUAGGGGAGCAAACCGGAUUAGAUACCCGGGUAGUCCUAGCCGUAAACGAUGCCCACUAGGUGUGGGGGAGUCAUUCCUCCGUGCUGUAGCUAACGCGUUAAGUGGGCCGCCUGGGGAGUACGCCCGCAAGUGAAAACUCAAAGGAAUUGGCGGGACCCCGCACAAGCGGUGGAGCGUGUGGUUUAAUUGGAUGCUAAGCCAAGAACCUUACCAGGGCUUGACAUGCAGGUGGUACCAACCCGAAAGGAAAGGACCCUUUCC
Molecule: ribosomal RNA, 488 nt
Filed under: uncultured bacterium
Lineage: Bacteria
Description: bacterial SSU rRNA
Rfam family: Bacterial small subunit ribosomal RNA
Source: RNAcentral